Non-coding RNA from Thamnophis sirtalis, 894 nucleotides. Lineage: Eukaryota; Metazoa; Chordata; Lepidosauria; Squamata; Natricidae. The record is from RefSeq and is a predicted model, not a curated record.
CAGGUGGUGGAUGAUAAUGAGGAAAAAGAAGUGAAGUCAACCUGAAUCAGGGAAGAGCCCCGGACUGUGGGCAGAAAUUAUGUGCCAUGCAGACUUCACUAUCCUUCUUGGUGAUCUCAACGGAGCCAAACGUUCUUUUUACAGUCGGACUAGAUUUUUUUUUUCCCCUUGGAGCCUGAGCACACUUACUGAGCACACUGCUUUGGAUGCAGAAUGAUGAUCUCACGUGUGAAGUUGAACUUGUCCAGAAAAACGUCUUGAAUCUGUGGUGCAAAUGAAUCCAUUUGCAAGUGCUGCUUGGUUGCUGCUGAGGUGUUCAUAGAUGCUGCGAUUGUAAGGAAAUAAUUGAAGGGUGUCGUGGGUCCAGUAAAGUCCAUCAAGUGCAGUUUUGGAGGAACACGUCAACCGAGGAGCAGCUAGGGGUCUCUUUAAAGAUGAGACCCUUUCUGCAGGACACUAUAAAAAUGGCUCAGCCUGAGGGGGACAGGUGUGUAGCUUUUGAGGAGGGGCCUUCCCUUCCUUCUUCAGAGCCAUCCUCAAAGACAGCAAGAAGUCUUGGGGAAUGGUGGGAGCCAUUGAGGAGAUAGGCUGACACAUCCGUUGCUCAAUUAGGGCUUUGAAAGAGAGACAGCAAGGUUUUAUGUGCUUCUUCCACCUGUUUCUGGAAAAUAAAAGGACAAUAUUGCUCAAACCUGGGGUGAAGUAGCUCUUUUCCUUGCAAAGCCUAGCAGCUGAGACAUGCCCCUCCUUAUAAGAUGACAUUCCAUUGAGUCCUGGAAAUUUGAGACGGCUGAUUUCAAAGCUUUAAAAUCAGUUUAAAGUAAAGCAAUUGUGAAUGUGGCCAUUCUAGAACUUUGCCUGUGCAUUGUGAAUAAAGACGCUUUGUGGCUCAAA